GAUGAACGCUGGCGGCGUGCCUAACACAUGCAAGUCGAGCGAUUCUCUUCGGAGAAGAGCGGCGGACGGGUGAGUAACGCGUGGGUAACCUGCCCUGUACACACGGAUAACAUACCGAAAGGUAUGCUAAUACGAGAUAAUAUACUUUUAUCGCAUGGUAGAAGUAUCAAAGCUCCGGCGGUACAGGAUGGACCCGCGUCUGAUUAGCUAGUUGGUAAGGUAACGGCUUACCAAGGCGACGAUCAGUAGCCGACCUGAGAGGGUGAUCGGCCACAUUGGAACUGAGACACGGUCCAAACCCCUACGGGAGGCAGCAGUGGGGAAUAUUGCACAAUGGGCGAAAGCCUGAUGCAGCAACGCCGCGUGAGCGAUGAAGGCCUUCGGGUCGUAAAGCUCUGUCCUCAAGGAAGAUAAUGACGGUACUUGAGGAGGAAGCCCGGCUAACUACGUGCCAGCAG
Molecule: ribosomal RNA, 458 nt
Filed under: uncultured bacterium
Lineage: Bacteria
Description: bacterial SSU rRNA
Rfam family: Bacterial small subunit ribosomal RNA
Source: RNAcentral